Molecule: transfer RNA, 69 nt
Filed under: Cryptocephalus mystacatus
Lineage: Eukaryota; Metazoa; Arthropoda; Insecta; Coleoptera; Chrysomelidae
Description: tRNA-Gln
Source: RNAcentral
UUCACCUUAGUAUAAGAUGUACGAGAAUUUUUGGUAUUCUGGGGGAUAGUUUAAUUCUAUCAGGUGAAU